UACGGAGGUGGCAAGCGUUGCUCGGAAUCACUGGGCGUAAAGGGCGCGUAGGCGGGGAGGUAAGUCGGGUGUGAAAUCCCUCGGCCCAACCGAGGAACUGCGCCCGAGACUGCUUCUCUUGAGUCCCGGAGAGGAAGAUGGAAUUCCCGGUGUAGCGGUGAAAUGCGUAGAUAUCUGGAGGAACACCGGUGGCGAAGGCGGCAUCCUGGACCGGUAUUGACGCUGAGGCGCGAAAGCCAGGGGAGCAAACGGG
Molecule: ribosomal RNA, 253 nt
Filed under: uncultured bacterium
Lineage: Bacteria
Description: partial 16S ribosomal RNA
Rfam family: Bacterial small subunit ribosomal RNA
Source: RNAcentral